This 176-nucleotide small RNA is filed under the name Chelonoidis abingdonii (Abingdon island giant tortoise). RNAcentral describes it as "TUC338 (ENSCABG00000005519.1)". The record is from RNAcentral. Lineage: Eukaryota; Metazoa; Chordata; Testudines; Testudinidae.
AUUUAUACGGAUGGCUGGAGACUGAAGUCUUCUGUGCACUCACAGAACAGGUAUAACUUUAGUGGCAGCAGUGCAACCUUCCCAGCUAGCUGCCCUGCCAGUGUGCCUCCUGCCUGACCCAGGAAAGGGGCAUGCAGGGAUUUUCUUCUCAGUAGUAUGGAAAAACUUUUUUUUCU